UGCCAGCAGCCGCGGUAACACGAACCGUCCAAACGUUAUUCGGAAUCAUUGGGCUUAAAGGGUGCGUAGGCGGCUCAUUAAGUCGGGUGUGAAAUCCUUCGGCUCAACCGAAGAAUUGCGCCCGAUACUGGUGGGCUUGAGGGAGACAGGGGUGAGCGGAACUGAUGGUGGAGCGGUGAAAUGCGUUGAUAUCAUCAGGAACACCGGUGGCGAAAGCGGCUCACUGGGUCUCUUCUGACGCUGAGGAACGAAAGCCAGGGUAGCGAACGGGAUUAGAUA
Molecule: ribosomal RNA, 279 nt
Filed under: uncultured bacterium
Lineage: Bacteria
Description: partial 16S ribosomal RNA
Rfam family: Bacterial small subunit ribosomal RNA
Source: RNAcentral